AGGCCAUCACCUCUUGUCCUGUCACUGUUCCCUGGGAGAAAAGGCUGACCCCACCUCACUACAACCUCCUUUCAGUAACAGUGCAAGAAGUACAGUCUAACUCCAUGCUGCAGCCUCCUUGAAGAGAAAUCAAUCCUUUAAUUAGGCAACUGCUCCAAAAGUAUUGGGGCUACUCAUAUUGCUGGGCACAGAGUGAUUUUGGAGAAGACCUCAGCAGUGCAACACCUGGAACAAAGAAUCAACAGCAGCAUGUGCAGCUCGGCGCUGGAAACAGUUACCCGUCGAGUUCAAGCAGCUGCACUCAUGUGUCACCAGGCUAUGAAACACCAGCCCAGAGCUGUCAGCUCCACCACUGAAAUUAAUGGGCCAGACUGUUUACAUUACUGGAAAUCAUCCCAUUUAAAUAUAUAUGUUAUGCUGAAUACGUAA
Long non-coding RNA from Centrocercus urophasianus (Greater sage-grouse), 429 nucleotides. RefSeq lists it as uncharacterized. Lineage: Eukaryota; Metazoa; Chordata; Aves; Galliformes; Phasianidae. The record is from RefSeq and is a predicted model, not a curated record. The transcript is spliced from 2 exons.